AGAGUUUGAUCCUGGCUCAGGAUGAACGCUAGCUACAGGCUUAACACAUGCAAGUCGAGGGGCAGCAUGAGGUCAGCUUGCUGACUUUGAUGGCGACCGGCGCACGGGUGAGUAACGCGUAUCCAACCUUCCCCUGUCUCGGGCAUAACCCGGUGAAAACCGGACUAAUUCCCGAUGUUGUUCCUUGACGGCAUCAGAUUGGAACCAAAGAUUUAUCGGACAGGGAUGGGGAUGCGUCUGAUUAGCUUGUUGGCGGGGUAACGGCCCACCAAGGCAACGAUCAGUAGGGGUUCUGAGAGGAAGGUCCCCCACAUUGGAACUGAGACACGGUCCAAACUCCUACGGGAGGCAGCAGUGAGGAAUAUUGCACAAUGGGGGAAACCCUGAUGCAGCGACGCCGCGUGAGUGAAGAAGUAUUUCGGUACGUAAAGCUCUAUCAGCAGGGAAGAAACACCGCCCUAUGGGCGCCGGACGGUACCUGACUAAGAAGCCCCGGCUAACUACGUGCCAGCAGCCGCGGUAAAACGUAGGUCACAAGCGUUGUCCGGAAUUACUGGGUGUAAAGGGAGCGCAGGCGGGAAGACAAGUUGGAAGUGAAAUCUAUGGGCUCAACCCAUAAACUGCUUUCAAAACUGUUUUUCUUGAGUAGUGCAGAGGUAGGCGGAAUUCCCGGUGUAGCGGUGGAAUGCGUAGAUAUCGGGAGGAACACCAGUGGCGAAGGCGGCCUACUGGGCACCAACUGACGCUGAGGCUCGAAAGUGUGGGUACCCUUAAAGGAUUAUGAUACCCUGGUAGUCCACACCGUAAACGACGGAUUAAAUGAGUGUUGGAGGAUUGACCUCCUUCAGUGCCGCAGUAAACACAAUAAGUAAUCCACCCUGGGGAGUACGACCGCAAGGUCGAAACUCAAAGGUAUUGACGGGGGCCCGCACCAGCAGUGGAGUAUGUGGUUUAAUUCGACGCAACGCGAAGAACCUUACCAAGUCUUGACAUCCCUUGUCGAUGCCGGAAACAGUAUUUCUCUUCGGAGCAAGGAGACAGGUGGUGCAUGGUUGUCGUCAGCUCGUGUCGUGAGAUGUUGGGUUAAGUCCCGCAACGAGCGCAACCCUCAUCCUUAGUCGCCAGCAGGUAGAGCUGGGCACUCUGAGGAGACUGCCAGGGAUAACCUGGAGGAAGGUGGGGAUGACGUCAAAUCAUCAUGCCCCUCAUGAUUUGGGCUACACACGUGCUACAAUGGCGUAAACAAAGGGAAGCGACCCUGCGAAGGUAAGCAAAUCUCAAAAAUAACGUCUCAGUUCGGAUUGUAGUCUGCAACUCGACUACAUGAAGCUGGAAUCGCUAGUAAUCGCGGAUCAGAAUGCCGCGGUGAAUACGUUCCCGGGUCUUGCACACACCGCCCGUCA
This 1403-nucleotide ribosomal RNA is filed under the name uncultured bacterium. RNAcentral describes it as "bacterial SSU rRNA". It matches the Rfam family "Bacterial small subunit ribosomal RNA". The record is from RNAcentral.